AGUGAACGCUGGCGGUAGGCCUAACACAUGCAAGUCGAACGGCAGCACAGUAAGAGCUUGCUCUUACGGGUGGCGAGUGGCGGACGGGUGAGGAAUACAUCGGAAUCUACUUUUUCGUGGGGGAUAACGUAGGGAAACUUACGCUAAUACCGCAUACGACCUACGGGUGAAAGCAGGGGAUCUUUGGACCUUGCGCGAUUGAAUGAGCCGAUGUCGGAUUAGCUAGUUGGCGGGGUAAAGGCCCACCAAGGCGACGAUCCGUAGCUGGUCUGAGAGGAUGAUCAGCCACACUGGAACUUAGACACGGUCCAGACUCCUGCGGUAGGCAGCAGUGGGGAAUAUUGGACAAUGGGCGCAAGCCUGAUCCAGCCAUACCGCGUGGGUGAAGAAGGCCUUCGGGUUGUAAAGCCCUUUUGUUGGGAAAGAAAAGCAGCAGGUUAAUACCCCGCUGUUCUGACGGUACCCAAAGAAUAAGCACCGGCUAACUUCGUG
RNAcentral lists this ribosomal RNA (492 nucleotides) under uncultured bacterium. RNAcentral describes it as "partial 16S ribosomal RNA". It matches the Rfam family "Bacterial small subunit ribosomal RNA", at positions 29 to 507 of the family's 1533-position model. The record is from RNAcentral.